AUCGCCUGGGGGUCUCGUUAAAAAGCAGAAUCUGAUUCAGCAGGUAUAGGGCAGGGCCCCAGAUGCUGCAUUUCUAACAAACUCCCAGGUGAUGCCAA
Molecule: microRNA precursor, 98 nt
Filed under: Equus asinus (donkey)
Lineage: Eukaryota; Metazoa; Chordata; Mammalia; Perissodactyla; Equidae
Also listed under: 1 other name
Description: mir-544 microRNA precursor family
Rfam family: mir-544 microRNA precursor family
Source: Rfam by way of RNAcentral